CGACGACAAGGUUGCUCGAGCUCACGUUCUGGUACUGAUCAUAACUUGAACUGAUUGUCCUUGAACACUGAACAUCUUUCAUGGAGGAAGAAGCACCCGAAAAUCCGGAAGACGUUAAAAAGACAAAUGAAGA
This is a long non-coding RNA of Ornithodoros turicata, 133 nucleotides long. RefSeq lists it as uncharacterized. The record is from RefSeq and is a predicted model, not a curated record. The transcript is spliced from 3 exons. NCBI's taxonomy places the organism in Eukaryota, Metazoa, Arthropoda, Arachnida, Ixodida, Argasidae.